RNAcentral lists this ribosomal RNA (824 nucleotides) under uncultured crenarchaeote. RNAcentral's name for it is "bacterial SSU rRNA". It matches the Rfam family "Archaeal small subunit ribosomal RNA", at positions 59 to 859 of the family's 1478-position model. Lineage: Archaea; Thermoproteati; Thermoproteota. The record is from RNAcentral.
CGAGCGUCUCUAGCUAUGUUGAGACGCGGCAUACGGCUCAGUAACACGUGGCUAACCUACCCUCAGGACAGGGACAACCCCGGGAAACUGGGGCUAAUACCUGAUAGGUGAGGAUGCCUGGAAUGGUUUCUCACUCAAAGGGCUUUAGAAACAUGCUUUUAAAGUCGCCUGGGGAUGGGGCCGCGACCGAUCAGGUUGUUGGUGAGGUAAUGGCUCACCAAGCCUUUAACCGGUACGGGCCGUGAGAGCGGUAGCCCGGAGAUGGGUACUGAGACAAGGACCCAGGCCCUACGGGGCGCAGCAGUCGCGAAAACUCCGCAAUGCACGGAAGUGUGACGGGGCUACCCCGAGUGCCAUCCGCUGAGGAUGGCUUUUCCUUGGUAUAACUAGCCAGGGGAAUAAGGAGAGGGCAAGACUGGUGUCAGCCGCCGCGGUAAUACCAGCUCUCCGAGUGGUAGGGAUGAUUAUUGGGCUUAAAGCGUCCGUAGCCGGCUUAGCAAGUCUCCUGUUAAAUUCAGCGACCUAAUCGUUGAGCCGCGGGAGAUACUACUAGGCUAGGAGGCGGGAGAGGUCGACGGUACUUCUGGGGUAGGGGUGAAAUCCUAUAAUCCCGGGAGGACCACCAGUGGCGAAGGCUGUCGACUAGAACGCGCUCGACGGUGAGGGACGAAAGCUGGGGGAGCAAACCGGAUUAGAUACCCGGGUAGUCCCAGCUGUAAACGAUGCGGGCUAGGUGUUGGGGGUGGCUACGUGCCACUUCAGUGCCGCAGGGAAGCCAUUAAGCCCGCCGCCUGGGGGAGUACGGCCGCAAGGCUGAAACUUAA